UGCGGAUAGGAUCAAUGGGAUGAUGCACGAAUCGGUGCGCGACUCGACAAUAACAUUGAUGUUUAAUCAUAUCCACGGCCUGCAAUAAGGCACAUGUCCUAUCACCUAGUCAACAUGCUCGAGAUCCAAAUAGGUUAAUACAUAUGAAAGGGAUGUCAAAUAAAUUUGGAAGGUACAAGGGACAUAAGGUGAGAUGGACAAUGUUUGGUGAUGCUACAAGGUGACAGUUCCAUGGAUACCCGACUGAAAGGAUGGAAGGGCUUGGAGAAGGCCGCCCCCUGCCGCCACUGAGGACAACUACACUAAUACAGACAAGAGCGCCUCAACAGUUACACACUCAAGAGUUAGGGUUUUGCCGUAUGCAACUAGCUACCAUCUCCAACGCUUGUGCAAAACAGAAAAGAAAACUGCUAAGUCAGGAGCCGGACGCAAGGGUGAACGGUGUGCCGAGAGCUGGAGACACCCUGGACGAUGGAAAGAGGAAGGAGGAUCGGAUCACCUCGCCCACAGAGCCUCUCACCUCGACACACUGAGCAGAGGGACUGAAGUAUGCCAAUAUGGCCAGCUUUCAAGCAUCGCCCCUUGAAGCUCUCCCUGUGGUGAAGCUGAGGGAUCCCCCACAUUGCACUGUGGGAAAUGCCGACCUCAGCUCCGAACCACCCUUCAGAUAUCUUCAGGUAAACUAGUCUAUGCAGCAGAGUGGAUGAGGAAAACUAAAUAUUUCUUGGGGAAUAGAGAAAGCAGAAAAAAGGUCAAGGAAGAAGUCAUCAUCUUUGAAAGGCGGAGGGAGGAAAUCACAUGAUGAAAAAGAUGGGGACAGGUCUUCACUCAGGCACGGCUCGGUUUCUGAUGGGGUCUUUUCCCAGUGCGCCCUGGGAAGUGCGGUCCUCAGCUCUCCAGACUCAUGAAGGCCACCACCUGCUCCAGCUUGAAGGCCAGCCUCUGUUUCCGGGCUGCAUCGUCCUGCUCCAGUGAACACACAAUCUGCCAGCAGGACAGUGAGCUGCAGCCGCUCGAGGACAGGCCAGAUCUUUGGCUGGAUAAUUCUGGGCAUGUGUGAAGGAGAGAUGGAUUUGCCAGGAAGCAAGUCUUUAGAGCAAACUGAGCAAAGGAAAAGGCAGGUGGGUGAUGCUCAUAGCCUUUGCAAAGAGGUACAUCAACACCUGUUCAGUGCUGGAGGGCAGUUGUAGGAGCUCCUAGCAGGGGAUUGUUGGUGUUUGUUUUAGGAAAAAAUGUUUAUGAACAAAACUAAAAUCUCAUGCUUUAAUAAAGUGCUGUGAGCUUAGUUCCAAUAACAAUCCAAUAUUAGCCCAAGACUUGAACUGUUCUUUAUAGUCCUAAAGAUAAUGAACUUUGCAGCAUUUUUUGUUGAUAAGCUGGUAUGUCAGUUGUCUCUUAUGUCUCUUACAGG
Long non-coding RNA from Sander lucioperca (pikeperch), 1411 nucleotides. RefSeq lists it as uncharacterized. Lineage: Eukaryota; Metazoa; Chordata; Actinopteri; Perciformes; Percidae. The transcript has 6 exons. The record is from RefSeq and is a predicted model, not a curated record.